RNAcentral lists this non-coding RNA (45 nucleotides) under Schistosoma mattheei. Lineage: Eukaryota; Metazoa; Platyhelminthes; Trematoda; Strigeidida; Schistosomatidae. The record is from RNAcentral.
ACCUAACUGACGAGUCCCAAAUAGGACGAAACGUGAGUCUUGGAU